AAACAUGGCUCUUUGAAUUAUUUUUAUAAAGAGUCAGGCCUGCCCAGUGAAAUUUACUUUAACGGCCGCGGUACUCUGACCGUGCAAAGGUAGCAUAAUCAUUUGCCUUAUAAUUGAAGGCUAGUAUGAAUGGUUUAACGAGAGCAGCACUGUCUCUUUUUUAUUUUCAAGAACUUAACCUUUAGGUGAAGAGGCCUAAAUUUUAUUGAAGGACAAGAAGACCCUGUCGAGCUUAAAAGACACUAUAGAAGUUUAUAUAUACCUAAAUAAAUUUUCUGUUAAGCUUUUUAGUUGGGGCGACUAAGGAACAAAAAAAGCUUCUUAAGUAAAACAAACAUUCAAGUUUUGAUCCGGUGAUAGCCGAUUUAAGGAAUUAGUUACCGCAGGGAUAACAGCAUAAUCUCUCUUGAGAGACCUAAUCGAAAGAGGGGGUUGUGACCUCGAUGUUGGACUAGAAUAUCCUAAAGAUGCAGAAGUCUUUAAGGGUCGGUCUGUUCGACCGUUAAAAUUUUACGUGAUC
This 520-nucleotide ribosomal RNA is filed under the name Leptoxis ampla. RNAcentral's name for it is "partial 16S ribosomal RNA". It matches the Rfam family "Bacterial large subunit ribosomal RNA", at positions 1811 to 2605 of the family's 2925-position model. The record is from RNAcentral. Lineage: Eukaryota; Metazoa; Mollusca; Gastropoda; Pleuroceridae.